CAGUGGGGAAUAUUGCACAAUGGGCGCAAGCCUGAUGCAGCCAUGCCGCGUGUAUGAAGAAGGCCUUCGGGUUGUAAAGUACUUUCAGCGGGGAGGAAGGUGUUGUGGUUAAUAACCGCAGCAAUUGACGUUACCCGCAGAAGAAGCACCGGCUAACUCCGUGCCAGCAGCCGCGGUAAUACGGAGGGUGCAAGCGUUAAUCGGAAUUACUGGGCGUAAAGCGCACGCAGGCGGUCUGUCAAGUCGGAUGUGAAAUCCCCGGGCUCAACCUGGGAACUGCAU
Molecule: ribosomal RNA, 282 nt
Filed under: Salmonella enterica subsp. enterica serovar Enteritidis
Lineage: Bacteria; Pseudomonadati; Pseudomonadota; Gammaproteobacteria; Enterobacterales; Enterobacteriaceae
Description: partial 16S ribosomal RNA
Rfam family: Bacterial small subunit ribosomal RNA
Source: RNAcentral